UGUCAGGGGACCGGUGCUGCGGCCCCUGCGGCCGCCCACGGGGCACCUGGACGCGGAGUACGCGCCACCUUGGCGCCUAGUCCCUGAGGCACGGAGGUCCCGGCUCGGAAAAGAACGCUGUUUAGGCGCGGCCUAACCACCUAAGUGAGGGCACUGAAGCUGCCUGGGGAAGGGCAAGGCCCGCGUCGCCGCGCUCGGGCUCGGAGCCCUGGAUUUGUUUGGGUUAAUGGAGAUUAUAAAAAAGCCAAAACUGGUGAGGAUAGAGAUCAAUGCCAGCAGGAAUACAGGGAAAGGGAAAAUCUCAUGCUCAGUUGCCGGAGAAAUAAGAAAACGGAGGCAUAAAGAGGGUUAGAAACUUGCCCUAAUUCCGUUAGCUCAAAAGUGGAAGAGCUGGGAUUCAAAUCCAGAGAAGUGUCCACUUCAGGUGAGUGAUCUUAACCUCACAUUCUGCUGCCUUCUGGUUUAGUUUCUCCCUGGAAGCAGCUACUAGACU
Long non-coding RNA from Aethalodelphis obliquidens (Pacific white-sided dolphin), 493 nucleotides. RefSeq lists it as uncharacterized. The transcript has 3 exons. The record is from RefSeq and is a predicted model, not a curated record. NCBI's taxonomy places the organism in Eukaryota, Metazoa, Chordata, Mammalia, Artiodactyla, Delphinidae.